This 518-nucleotide ribosomal RNA is filed under the name uncultured bacterium. RNAcentral describes it as "bacterial SSU rRNA". It matches the Rfam family "Bacterial small subunit ribosomal RNA", at positions 791 to 1301 of the family's 1533-position model. The record is from RNAcentral.
UAGUCCACGCCGUAAACGAUGUCUACUAGGUUGUGGGAGUUCUGACACUUUCACGGCCGAAGCAAAAGUGUUAAGUAGACCGCCUGGGGAGUACGGUCGCAAGGCUAAAACUCAAAGGAAUUGACGGGGGCUCACACAAGCGGUGGAGCAUGUGGAUUAAUUCGAAGCAACGCGCAGAACCUUACCUGGGUUUGACAUGUUUGGAUGCUAACUGGGAAACCAGGGAUGCUGCCUUUCGGGGUGAAACUUACACAGGUGCUGCGUGGCUGUCGUCAGCUCGUGUCGUGAGAUGUCGGGUUAAGUCCUUUAACGAGCGAAACCCUUGCCGUUAGUUGCCAGCGAGUAAUGUCGGGGACUCUAGCGGGACUGCCGGUGUUAAACCGGAGGAAGGUGGGGAUGACGUCAAGUCCUCAUGGCCUUUAUGCCCAGGGCUUCACACGUGCUACAAUGGUAACUACAGAGCGAAGCGAGACCGCGAGAUGGAGCAAAUCGCAAAAAGUUGCCUCAGUUCGGAUUGU